This 2148-nucleotide long non-coding RNA is filed under the name Olea europaea subsp. europaea. The record is from RNAcentral. Lineage: Eukaryota; Viridiplantae; Streptophyta; Magnoliopsida; Lamiales; Oleaceae.
UUUUACAGAUGACUGGAUGAGCACUUCUAUUGGAAUAGCUUUCACUCCAUACGUCUUAGACAUUGGAGUUGUAAAGGUAUAUUUUUAAAUUGCAUUUUAUUAAUCAUCUACAAUGUCUUUAAGUUUCUUUGUCGUUUUGGCUUUCGAUUGUUUGUAGCCAUUUAUCUGCACAAAGGUAAUUGUAAUUGUAGGCAUUCACACCCUUUUUAUGCUUCUUCUCACUUAUAAUUAUUGAAUUAAUUGGAGUUUUUCUAUUGGAGCUUUAUAUAUGCUCUUUUAGUUUUUUGUGUCUUGUAGAUAUUGGAAUUAAGGAACCAGUAAAAGGUAUUGAUAUUAUUCAUGAAGCGACACCAUAGGAAAGGUAACAGAAUGAAUUUUUUGUUAAUUGGAUGUUGAUGUGAUUAUGGUGUGUAUAACAAAACUUUAGUUUAUUGAUCGAACUUUUUUCAAUCAAGAAUGUUUGUUUAUGGAAUUUACACUAAUAUUGUUUUUAUAUGGAAUGAUAUUGGGAAGGGAUCCACUUGCACUUUUACGGUAUCAAUUCUACAUAAUAGUGGCUUCAUACUAGACGUUUUACAUCUCCCCAUCUGUUGAUGCUCAAGAAAGAUUUCGAUUCAAUGGGUAAGUGUUUACCAUUUUGAGGAGGAUGGAAGUACUUAUCUCUUAACAUGUUUAGCAGAGUGUAAAACAUUUUAUAAGCUCUCUCUUACACUUUUUAAACUCUCUCUUUCUGGUGGUGUAGGAAUCGACUUAAGGCAUGUCAAUGGUUUUUCUCUUCAUAAUUAUUUAUUUUUAAAUGUCAAUUCUUGCGAAGGCUUCAACAUGAUUUCGUUUGCUCGCAACUCUACUAUAUGACUAGAUUGCUAAUGGCCAUACUAAGGUAUUGGCAAUAGAGGAUUUAUAACAGAAUAUUUCAACAAAGUAAUAGGGAUUAGAUAUUUUGAGUUCAAUUUAUUGGUUCUUUUUCUUUAUUAGAAGAGCUUGACUUGCACGGUGGACUUGUUAGGGCUGGACAAAACUUUUAAACCGAAUCGAAUUGAAAUGAAUCGAGCGAUUCUUCUUAAAUUAAAUAUCCAAAUGAAUAUCUGAAUCGAGAAUCAACGGGUUUUAUCCAGUUCUCGAUUCUAGACCAAGAAUUAAAUAAUCGAAUAAGAAUCUAAUAUCCCUUUUUUUUAAGUCUCAAAGUAAGGUUCCGACUUAUGUAAUUUAGUAUUUUCAUUUUUUUAAGGUAUUAAUUUUAGUGUUGGAGUCAAUUGAAAGUGAAACAUGCGUUUCUGAUUAUUAUGAUAAUAAUGUUAUUGACUAGAGCUAUGACGAGGUUCCGUUACUUCUCAUUUCUCUUGGUUCAAGAUUUUAGAGCUCGGCGUUGUACUAGGAAAAGAAGAAGAAGUUUUAAUGUCUGAAGAUUUCUACUUUUAAAAAUAUUAUGUUUAUGAAUGCAAUGAAUUUGCCUACGAGAAAUGACCACUUUCUUCACUAUACAAGGAUACAAUUUUCACUCUCUCCAUUUAUCACCUUUUAAGCGAAUGAUAUUGCACGAUCUUGUAGGUCUUUCAAUUCAAAGUUCAAUUGCUUAAUCUCCUCUGCUUCAUUAAGAAAUGGCAUUAUGCUUUUUACACUUGCAUAGAAAUUCUCAACCAAAAUGAAAUAGAUUGACGUAAUCCCUGGAUGCAGUGAUCUAUACUUAAAUGUCUUUCAUUGAUUGAUAUAUAAAAAAUGAAAUAUGUUUUUCAUUUGAGCACAAUAAUAUGCAUCAUAGUGGAACUACUUCCAAACGGGGUUUUUAUUUCGUUCCUUUCCCCCCUUGUGUAUAAUAGAGAUGUUUGGACUAACUUUUCUUUUACUCAUGUUACGGGUUCUUUUGGGGGAAAUGCUAGCUUCGCUAUUUCAAGGCAUUAUAAACCUUUUGAUGUGUUUCUAGAUGCAGAAGCUAAUAAGGCUAAUGGGAAGUACGAAAAUGCUUCCAUUGACUUUCAGAUUGAUUUCUAAAAAAAAUUGCACGACAACAUGCAAAGUAAUUUUUCAAACCAUGGGUUUCUAUUUUCUAUGCAAAUAGAAAAAGCCUCUAAAAUAACAGUGUUUGUGAAGCCUCAUAGGGUACAAAUAACCUAGAAAACAUGUCAAUCUUCGAAUUUAGCUUCAUCCAUG